Molecule: non-coding RNA, 70 nt
Filed under: Mumia flava
Lineage: Bacteria; Bacillati; Actinomycetota; Actinomycetes; Propionibacteriales; Nocardioidaceae
Source: RNAcentral
GCGCAGCGAGCGAUCGAGGCCCCGCCUCCGGACGAGCGCGACGUACCCGGUGAGGCGAAGACGGCGCAGU